Molecule: unclassified non-coding RNA, 208 nt
Filed under: soil metagenome
Description: partial contains 5.8S ribosomal RNA, internal transcribed spacer 2, and large subunit ribosomal RNA
Source: RNAcentral
AAGACUAUAGACCUGCGGAGUACCUGCGGAGGGAUCAUUACAGAGUUCUUUGCAACUCCCAACCCUGUGAACCAUACCAAUUUUUUGUUUGUUGCUUCUGGCAGCGCCCUCGCGGGCGUCUGCCAGCGGUGACCGGCUCCAACCUUCUUCUGUAUCUUACCGUCUGAGCUUCUGAAAAAUAAAUCAAAACUUUUAACAAUGGAUCUCU